GACGAACGCUGGCGGCGUGCUUAACACAUGCAAGUCGAACGGAAAGGCCCUGCUUUUGUGGGGUGCUCGAGUGGCGAACGGGGGAGUAACACGUGAGUAACCGGCCCUUGACUUUGGGAGAACUUCAGGAAACUGGGGCUAAUAUCGGAUAGGAGCUCCUGCUGCAUGGUGGGGGUUGGAAAGUUUCGGCGGUUGGGGAUGGACUCGCGGCUUAUCAGCUUGUUGGUGGGGUAGUGGCUUACCAAGGCUUUGACGGGUAGCCGGCCUGAGAGGGUGAACGGCCACCUUGGGACUGCGGUACGGCCCAGACUCCUACGGGAGGCAGCAGUGGGGAGUAUUGCACAGUGGGCGGACGCCUGUUGCAGCAACGCCGCGUGCGGGAUGCCGGCCUUCGGGUUGUAAACCGCUUUCGCCUGUGACGAAGCGUGAGUGACGGUAAUGGGUAAAGAAGCACCGGCUAACUACGUG
This 468-nucleotide ribosomal RNA is filed under the name uncultured bacterium. RNAcentral's name for it is "partial 16S ribosomal RNA". It matches the Rfam family "Bacterial small subunit ribosomal RNA", at positions 28 to 507 of the family's 1533-position model. The record is from RNAcentral.